RNAcentral lists this transfer RNA (71 nucleotides) under Bos taurus (domestic cattle). It matches the Rfam family "tRNA". Rfam says of the family: Transfer RNA (tRNA) molecules are approximately 80 nucleotides in length. Their secondary structure includes four short double-helical elements and three loops (D, anti-codon, and T loops). Further hydrogen bonds mediate the characteristic L-shaped molecular structure. tRNAs have two regions of fundamental functional importance: the anti-codon, which is responsible for specific mRNA codon recognition, and the 3' end, to which the tRNAs corresponding amino acid is attached (by aminoacyl-tRNA synthetases). tRNAs cope with the degeneracy of the genetic code in two manners: having more than one tRNA (with a specific anti-codon) for a particular amino acid; and 'wobble' base-pairing, i.e. permitting non-standard base-pairing at the 3rd anti-codon position. The record is from Rfam by way of RNAcentral. Lineage: Eukaryota; Metazoa; Chordata; Mammalia; Artiodactyla; Bovidae.
UCCAUGGGGGCUCAGUGGUAAAGAAUCUGCCUGCAAAGCAGGAAACCCUGGUUCAGUCCCUGGUCAGGGAG